Molecule: ribosomal RNA, 253 nt
Filed under: uncultured bacterium
Lineage: Bacteria
Description: partial 16S ribosomal RNA
Rfam family: Bacterial small subunit ribosomal RNA
Source: RNAcentral
GACGAACCGUGCGAACGUUGUUCGGAAUCACUGGGCUUAAAGGGCGCGUAGGUGGUUUGCCAAGUCGGGGUUGAAAUCUUUCGGCUUAACCGGAAAAGUGGCUUCGAUACUGGCAAGCUGGAGGGAGGUAGGGGCGGAUGGAACUUCCGGUGGAGCGGUGAAAUGUGUUGAUAUCGGAAGGAACGCCGGUGGCGAAAGCGAUCCGCUGGACCUCUUCUGACACUGAGGCGCGAAAGCCAGGGGAGCGAACAGG